RNAcentral lists this unclassified non-coding RNA (375 nucleotides) under uncultured Pseudomonadota bacterium. RNAcentral describes it as "uncultured proteobacterium contains 16S-23S intergenic spacer region". The record is from RNAcentral. Lineage: Bacteria; Pseudomonadati; Pseudomonadota.
UCCGACUUCACGUCGGCGGUCCUGAUAGAGUGCUCGGCCGAACCGCUAGCAACUAUCAGCAGGGGUUGCGCUCGUUGCAGGACUUAACCCAACAUCUCACGACACGAGCUGACGACAGCCAUGCAGCACCUCGACAGCGGCCCCGAAGGGAAGGUACAUCUCUGCACCGGUCCACUGCCGUUCGAACCCAGGUAAGGUUCUUCGCGUUGCGUCGAAUUAAACCACAUGCUCCACCGCUUGUGCGGGCCCCCGUCAAUUCCUAUGAGUUUCAACCUUGCGGCCGUACUCCCCAGGCGGGACGCUUAAUGCGUUAGCUGCGCCACUGAUAAGCAUGCUUACCAACGGCUAGCAUCCAUCGUUUACGGCGUGGACUAC